GGUAAAACAUCAAGUAUGGAGGGAGAAUCCAGUGAUGAAUAUGCAUAUCAGAAUGUGACAGCUGAUAGAACAUACCAAAAUGUGGCUGAGGACAUUGAUACAUAUGAGGAUUUGGCUGAUAGAACAUACCAAAAUGUGGGUGAGGACAUUGAUACAUACGAUGAUGUGGGUGAGAAAUGGUUUGAUAAUAUAAAGCUCUAUUCAAAUGUAAUGAUUAAAUUGUAAAAUGUUCAAACUACAAUGAACUCAAAAAGUAUUUAGACAGUGGCAUAUAUAUUUUUAUUGGGUGGGGGUCUGUUACAGUCUGGAUUUGAAAUGAUACUAUGGAGUUGAAGUGCAGACUUUCCGCUGUAAUUUGAAGGUAUCUUCAAUGAUAUUGAAUGAACCAUUUAGAAAUGAUUGCACACUUUCGAAGUUGCCCCAGUAUGGACGGAUUAACAUUGUGUACUUUCAGUACUUGGCCACAUAUCCUUUGAAUACAUGCCCAAGCUGACUGUGUUAG
This is a long non-coding RNA of Esox lucius (northern pike), 502 nucleotides long. The record is from Ensembl. Lineage: Eukaryota; Metazoa; Chordata; Actinopteri; Esociformes; Esocidae.